UCAGAUUCCCCGGGGUGCUCCCCCGCCGUGUUGGCGGGGAUGCUGAGAAAAUACCCGUAGAACCUGAUCAGGGUAAUGCCUGCGCAGGGAAGGUAGUUCCGUCAUUC
Molecule: non-coding RNA, 107 nt
Filed under: Niastella populi
Lineage: Bacteria; Pseudomonadati; Bacteroidota; Chitinophagia; Chitinophagales; Chitinophagaceae
Description: TPP sequence
Rfam family: TPP riboswitch aptamer (THI element)
About the family: Vitamin B(1) in its active form thiamin pyrophosphate (TPP) is an essential coenzyme that is synthesised by coupling of pyrimidine and thiazole moieties in bacteria. The previously detected thiamin-regulatory element, thi box was extended, resulting in a new, highly conserved RNA secondary structure, the THI element, which is widely distributed in eubacteria and also occurs in some archaea. Analysis of operon structures identified a large number of new candidate thiamin-regulated genes, mostly transporters, in various prokaryotic organisms.
Source: Rfam by way of RNAcentral